RNAcentral lists this unclassified non-coding RNA (235 nucleotides) under Hevea brasiliensis (rubber tree). Lineage: Eukaryota; Viridiplantae; Streptophyta; Magnoliopsida; Malpighiales; Euphorbiaceae. The record is from RNAcentral.
GGCUGACGCUUGCCCUUUAGGCCGACUUGGUGAGCCUAAGGAUGUAAGUCAAGUUGUGGGAUUCUUGGCUAGUGAUGCAGGGCAGUGGAUCAAUGGACAAGUCAUUAGGGUUAAUGGGGGAUCCGUUAUCUAAAUGUUAUGUGUGUCUACUUAUCUGAGACUUGUACUUUCCUUUUAUAUGUUCUUGAAUUUGUUUCCCUCUGCCCCUAUUUGUACCUUUUUUUUUUAAUUUACC